GAUGAACGCUGGCGGCGUGCCUAAUACAUGCAAGUCGAGCGAACAGACGAGGAGCUUGCUCCUCUGACGUUAGCGGCGGACGGGUGAGUAACACGUGGAUAACCUACCUAUAAGACUGGGAUAACUUCGGGAAACCGGAGCUAAUACCGGAUAAUAUAUUGAACCGCAUGGUUCAAUAGUGAAAGACGGUUUUGCUGUCACUUAUAGAUGGAUCCGCGCCGCAUUAGCUAGUUGGUAAGGUAACGGCUUACCAAGGCAACGAUGCGUAGCCGACCUGAGAGGGUGAUCGGCCACACUGGAACUGAGACACGGUCCAGACUCCUACGGGAGGCAGCAGUAGGGAAUCUUCCGCAAUGGGCGAAAGCUUGACGGAGCAACGCGGCGUGAGUGAUGAAGGUCUUCGGAUCGUAAAACUCUGUUAUUGGGGAAGAACAAAUGUGUAAGUAAAUAUGCACGUCUUGACGGUACCUAAUCAGAAAGCCACGGCUAACUACGUG
Molecule: ribosomal RNA, 497 nt
Filed under: uncultured bacterium
Lineage: Bacteria
Description: partial 16S ribosomal RNA
Rfam family: Bacterial small subunit ribosomal RNA
Source: RNAcentral